This is a long non-coding RNA of Gasterosteus aculeatus aculeatus (three-spined stickleback), 1657 nucleotides long. NCBI's taxonomy places the organism in Eukaryota, Metazoa, Chordata, Actinopteri, Perciformes, Gasterosteidae. The record is from Ensembl.
CAAACCACAGAUAUAUAAAGACCUGCCAAAGCAGAUCGUCAGUCCAGUCCGGAAACCAGCUGAUAGAAGCUCAAGAAGACGCACUGCUGAAAAUCAUGUCCCUGAACUCCUCGUCCCCAUUUAACGCCUCUCACCUUCACCCGCACGUCUCCUCCUCCAAUUCCUCCCUCGUCCCGAACAUGGAAGUCUGCUUCAACUACAGAUCCGGCUUCCUCAUCUUCAUUGCCUUCUGCUUCACCGACGUCCUCCUCCUCCUCCCUCUCUGCCUCCUGGUCUUCUACCUGGGCGUCCAAAGAUGGCGGCGACAGGGCUCCAAGGCGGCCAGCCACUGUGAUGUCUUCACCUACCACUUGGUCGCCACGGAGAUGAUCUGCGUCUUCGGGUGCGCCCUCUACUGCUGCGGCGCCUUGGCCGACGCAACGUUGUUGGUGAGGAUCGGCGCGUACGUCAUCUCAGUCGCCACCAACGGGCAGGUUCCCUUCCACAUCCUCACCUGCGUGGAGCGCCGACUGGCCGUCGUUUAUCCGAUCACCUACCUGCGGCUGAGGGAGAGGGGCGGGGUCAGGAUCAGGAAUGUUGCCGUCGGAUGCGUUUGGCUGUUUUUUCUCGGGUUGUUUGGCCUAAACAUGUUUAUGAGCUCCGCCUUUUUCAUUUGUCUCUCGGUGUCCUCCGUAGUCGUCAUCUCUUUCUGCAGCCUCUCUGUUCUCCGCGCCCUGAUUCGUCCGGGGCCGGGGGACGGGGCCGGCGGCCGGGAGAGGGUGGACCAGUCCAAGUUGAGGGCCUUUUACAUCAUCACGGCCAUAUUGGGAACUCAUUUGUUCCGGUUCGGGGGAUACCUGCUCGUCCUGUCAGCCUACAACUCCCUGACGUGGAGCGAGCAGGUCCGCUGUGACUUGUUGCUGGCGGGAGUGUGGUUCGGUUUGCCCGGCAGUCUGGUGUUACCUCUGCUCUAUCUGCACCGGGCAGGGAAACUGCUUUGUUGUAAGAACGGAAAUGGAUCAGAACAGGGAUCAGAGUAGCACGUCCUCAGUUUGCAUACCAGACCUGUCUUCUCUUCCCCAAAGUCCUGGUCCUCGUGAGCCUCCCGUCCCUCCGGGGGAAUGUUCCUCACAGUAGCUUUUGAAGUGAAUGUUUCAUCCCAUUGCAUAGAUGCCAUUGUGUUGUUUCUCUCUCUCCAGAAAAUGACUCCAACAACCCAGCCGUACUAACUAAAUAGUCACUCAGAAGACUGUACUAGUCUACAGCCUGUUUGGAUCCCCAAAUAACAAGGGACGCACACUUACAUGACAGCUCUUUUUAACAUCCACACAAACACAUUCACCAAAAACAGAAAUAUUUACAGUAAAGUAACACACAAUGUGCAUCUGGUUUUAAUGCGUCAUAUUUAUCUCGCUGGUCGCUGAUCUGUCUCCAAAAUGCAAAAAACUCCAGCUUGUGAAGUGAUCUAAUUUUAAAGCAUUUAACAUCUCGAGACACAAAACCUUUCAGUUUAUAUAUUGUAUGUCUGACAUAUUAUGGCAAUAAAUGUUUCUUGAUAAAAAACUUUGAUUUAAGAAACUUAUAACAAACCUGAUUAGAUCUUUUAUGUACACUAAUUGAUUCCUUCCUUGUGUAACAUGUGUUUUUAAAUGACUAAAUAAAUUGAAGCAAUAACGAC